CGUAACACCUUAUCAUGUAGACGCGAUCAGCGAAUGAGAGAGAGAUAGAGAAAGAACGAGAGAGAUCCCGUUUUUGGUGAAGUUUGCGAGAUGGACGGUUGUUGCGGCGUGCCGCAAAGACCUAGUCCGUGACGACCUACUGCGAGUUCAAAUUUUUGGCGGCCGAAGUGACUUGUCGGCGAACUGUACGCAUGUGAUGGUGAUGUUAGACGGUUCGGUAAUCUGGUGAUAAGUCGGUUAUUAUACGAGCUGGUUUGGAGUUCUCAAGCUACUUUUGGAGAUUAGAUAUUGGCCUGACCUUGUUUGGUCCGCAUCUCCUGCCAAUAAAAUUCUCCAUUUAGCUCUCUAUUUAUCUGAGGU
Long non-coding RNA from Aethina tumida (small hive beetle), 360 nucleotides. RefSeq lists it as uncharacterized. The transcript has 5 exons. NCBI's taxonomy places the organism in Eukaryota, Metazoa, Arthropoda, Insecta, Coleoptera, Nitidulidae. The record is from RefSeq and is a predicted model, not a curated record.